Melitaea cinxia (Glanville fritillary) is the source of this 98-nucleotide long non-coding RNA. RefSeq lists it as uncharacterized. The transcript has 3 exons. NCBI's taxonomy places the organism in Eukaryota, Metazoa, Arthropoda, Insecta, Lepidoptera, Nymphalidae. The record is from RefSeq and is a predicted model, not a curated record.
UUGUUGAUUUAUGUGAUUAUUCUUGUGUUAGCAUUGAAAUAAGUGUAAGCGCUGCCAAUUUGUAUAAUUUAUUAAUAAAGUAAUUGGUGUAUAAAGUG